GAGUCGUUUGAGGCGCGAGCUUCCAGCGCCUAGUUAACAGGCUGAGUCCGGGGCGGGUCGGAGAGCGGCCACGUGCGGUGGCGUGCAGGGUCGCAAGCAUGCCUUCCCGCCCACCUGCCCACGCUGGGCUUGGGUGUCAGUGCUUGUCUCCAUAUAGAUAGUCACUUCUUGAAAGCCGCAGCCGCCAUCAAGAUAAUCUAAAUACGACCACAGCCUAACUACAUACACAAGGGGCCCCCGAGUCAAAGCUUCUCUGGUAGAAGAGAGAUCAGUUUCAGAGAGCGGUGAAUGCCUAGGGAAGACAUGGAAACGAGAGAAUAAAUACUUCCAAGAAGUUUCACUUUGAAGAGGAAGAGAAAGCAGGGUCUGCAACUACGGAGGAAUAAGGGAGCCAAGCUUGGCUUCAUUUUUCCCUGUUAUAAAUGGACUUUAUUUAUAUGGCAUAGAACAUGGUUUCUUGGAAGAUCUAUCAGAAUAAUCCCAAGGAAAGACCCAGACUAGUCUGGCUUGGUAGCAUGAUCAUUCCUGGGUCCAUUUUUAUGGCCCAUUGUGGUCACCCACUUUUCCCUGUGGUUAGGGAUAAAAGGGAGGUUCAUAUUGAAGAGCAAUGCAGUGACAGCUGAGAUACUAAAACAGGCUUCUUUUUCUGGAGAAGUGAAAUGAAUACACAAUUUUACAGUUGACAU
Molecule: long non-coding RNA, 686 nt
Organism: Leopardus geoffroyi (Geoffroy's cat)
Lineage: Eukaryota; Metazoa; Chordata; Mammalia; Carnivora; Felidae
Exons: 4
Source: RefSeq, a predicted model, not a curated record